Molecule: non-coding RNA, 100 nt
Filed under: Clostridium sp.
Lineage: Bacteria; Bacillati; Bacillota; Clostridia; Eubacteriales; Clostridiaceae
Also listed under: 1 other name
Description: TPP sequence
Rfam family: TPP riboswitch aptamer (THI element)
About the family: Vitamin B(1) in its active form thiamin pyrophosphate (TPP) is an essential coenzyme that is synthesised by coupling of pyrimidine and thiazole moieties in bacteria. The previously detected thiamin-regulatory element, thi box was extended, resulting in a new, highly conserved RNA secondary structure, the THI element, which is widely distributed in eubacteria and also occurs in some archaea.
Source: RNAcentral
UAAAAUUUGCGGGGGGACUACAAAGUAGUUGAGAAGGUAAAACCUGACCCUUUGAACCUGUUGGUUAAUACCAGCGUAGGGAAGCAAAUUAUAUACUACU